RNAcentral lists this long non-coding RNA (368 nucleotides) under Nicotiana tabacum (common tobacco). RNAcentral describes it as "long non-coding RNA (NTAB_LNC001945)". Lineage: Eukaryota; Viridiplantae; Streptophyta; Magnoliopsida; Solanales; Solanaceae. The record is from RNAcentral.
UGUAUUUCUCCGCCAAAACGCCAAACUCACCUCGGCUAGUCUUCACCAAUAGCCUCUAAACAACUUAUAACAAAAUGGCAACAAUAUGGUUAACAUGUCAGAGACAAUAACCAGGGGACGAAAUGCAAUAGGGUAAUAGAAUUUCAACUUGUACAAAUUACAGUCUAGAGGCUUCACAGUACAUAUAUAUAUAUAUAUAUAUAUAUAUAUAUAUAUAUAUAUACUUAUAUAUAUAUAUAUCAAACCUGUUCAACUACACAAUGGAUAAACGUAAAAAAAAAUGCAUUCCAAAAAAAUUACAUGAUAGACAACAAGAAAGGCAACAUCCUUCUACACAUUACGAUUCCCAAUCUGUUUCAGCAUCACAC